GGUACAUACAUCUCUUGUCUCCACUUUCAAUUCAUAGUCUUCUUUGCAGUUCGUUUAACAUUCGGCGAGAGACACUUUUCUGCAGCUUCGCAGCCACGCCCUCAACUUUGCCAGGAUGGCGACCCACAAGCGGCGGGGUGGGGGGCCGUGGGGCGAGCCAGACUUCUUGGCUCCAGGCUCCUUGACGGUGGGGGGCAGUGGGAAGAGCUUCCCAGGCUAUUGGCUCUGGGCGGAGGCCACAACGGCACAUGGCUGCAUUUAGGAGCGCCCAGGGCUCCGGCGACCAGCUCAGGCUGCGGCGAUCAUGGCGGCUUUCCAAUUGUGGAGGGACUAUUUCCAGCUGGCGCGCGUGGUGCAAGAGAUGCGCUGGCGGAGCGCGAGGAGCAGCUGGCCGGGGGCUUUCGCGGACCAGGCGCCGCCGCCACGCAAGGAGGCGCCCCCUGCCGGGGUCAGCAGGCCGGCGCGCCACUGCGCCUUCUGCAAGCACAACGGCGAGUCGAGGGCCAUCUACGCGUCGCACGCGCUGAAGGACUCAGCAGGGAGGGUGCAGUGCCCGAUCCUGAGAAAUUACACUUGCCCUCAGUGCGGGGCAUCUCAGGAUCGGGCGCACACGAGGAAGUUCUGCCCUUUAACCAACAAGGGCUACACGUCCGUCUACAGCUGCAUCCGGAAUUCGGCCGGGAAGAAGGCAAGCAACUUCAAAACGAAGCCAGCCUAUCCUAAAACUUAAAAAAUAAAAAGGUGGGAAGGGGAAUAUUAUUCUCUCUCUCUCUCUCGUUUUCUCUUUCAGCAGCAAAGGUUCCAACCUGGUGGUACAUUUGCAGCUGUACCAGAGCUAGCACUUUUCUUGAAGUCAAGGGAAACUUUGGAUCUAAUACACCCCAAGUGGUUGGUCUGCAGGAAUCAACUAAAAUAUUCAGACCUGGAGAGAAAAAGGAGAGAGGGAAAGAUAGUCCAGGAUGGCAACAUUUACUUUAGGUGGCACUGGUACAUCACACCAAGGGCCUGGAAAUGAAUUCUCUCAGUACUAUCAUAAUCAACUGACUCGCUAUUCUUGUUUUUUAAUCCAGCUACUCUUCCUGCUUGAAUUAUUUCACAUUCAUGUUAUUACAGAUGUCUGACUCAGUGUGAAGAGUGUCCACUUGAGACAAAUGUUACCUAAUUUCCCAAAUUACCAGUCUGAAGUCUCCCAAUGUUUGUAUUUGUUUAAAGUUUUGUUUAAAUGCAUGCUUGUUUUUCAAGUGAUAUUUGUUGGCCAGGUUUUAUUUGGUUCUUAAGACGUAUGGUCAAUAAUUACUUCGUUUUGUUAA
Molecule: RNA transcript, 1310 nt
Organism: Podarcis raffonei (Aeolian wall lizard)
Lineage: Eukaryota; Metazoa; Chordata; Lepidosauria; Squamata; Lacertidae
Gene: NANOS3
Gene name: nanos C2HC-type zinc finger 3
Exons: 2
Source: RefSeq, a predicted model, not a curated record